UUCCUCAAAGCUCACGAGAAGCGUUUAACUGUUAAUUAAAAGGUUGCCACUAAGGCUGAGGAAC
RNAcentral lists this transfer RNA (64 nucleotides) under Myosotella myosotis (mouse ear snail). Its description in RNAcentral is "tRNA-Asn". The record is from RNAcentral. Lineage: Eukaryota; Metazoa; Mollusca; Gastropoda; Ellobiida; Ellobiidae.